RNAcentral lists this ribosomal RNA (351 nucleotides) under Argyra atriceps. RNAcentral describes it as "partial 12S ribosomal RNA". The record is from RNAcentral. Lineage: Eukaryota; Metazoa; Arthropoda; Insecta; Diptera; Dolichopodidae.
AUUUAAAAUGUAUUUUAUUAUUAGAGUAGUAGUAGUUAAGUUCUUGAAACUUAAAAAAUUUGGCGGUAUUUUAGUCUAUUCAGAGGAACCUGUGGUGUAAUCGAUAAUCCACGUUGGACCUUACUUAAUUUUGUAAUUUUAAAUAUAUCAAUUUGUAUACCGCUGUUAUUUGAGAAUUUUAUAAGGAUAAUAAUUUUCAAAAUUUUUUAUAAGAAAGUAAAUCAGGUCAAGGUGCAGUUUAUAAUUAAGUAUUUCAUGGGUUACAAUAAUUUUAUUUAAACGGAUUAAUUAAUGUAAUUUGAUUAUAAAGGUGGAUUUGAAAGUAAAUUUUUAUAGAUAAAAGAGUUGAUU